This 207-nucleotide ribosomal RNA is filed under the name uncultured bacterium. Its description in RNAcentral is "partial 16S ribosomal RNA". It matches the Rfam family "Bacterial small subunit ribosomal RNA", at positions 568 to 774 of the family's 1533-position model. The record is from RNAcentral.
CUCGUAGGCGGCCAACCAAGUCAGACGUGAAAUCCCUCGGCUUAACCGGGGAACUGCGUCUGAUACUGGAUGGCUUGAGUUUGGGAGAGGGAUGCGGAAUUCCAGGUGUAGCGGUGAAAUGCGUAGAUAUCUGGAGGAACACCGGUGGCGAAGGCGGCAUCCUGGACCAACACUGACGCUGAGUGAGCGAAAGCCAGGGAGCAAACG